Non-coding RNA from Natrinema versiforme JCM 10478, 75 nucleotides. The record is from Rfam. Lineage: Archaea; Methanobacteriati; Methanobacteriota; Halobacteria; Halobacteriales; Natrialbaceae.
GGGCGCUUAGCUCAGUCUGGACAGAGUACUUGGCUUCGGACCAAGCUGUCACGGGUUCAAAUCCUGUAGCGCCCA